UAUACCCGUCACCACAAUACGAUGGUUGGCAGUCUACAAAACGGAAGGUAGUCUAAAAGUACAUACCCUUCUCCCGCGUCGACCUCGUAACCCUUGGGACCCCUUCGGACCGAUGGGACCUUCAGCGCCUUGGAUUCCAGGCACAAAAGGAGCAUUUACCUUGGUUACUUGACGUC
This is a long non-coding RNA of Anneissia japonica, 176 nucleotides long. RefSeq lists it as uncharacterized. The record is from RefSeq and is a predicted model, not a curated record. Lineage: Eukaryota; Metazoa; Echinodermata; Crinoidea; Comatulida; Comatulidae. The transcript is spliced from 3 exons.